AGGUAGCAUAAUCAUUAGUCUUUUAAUUGGGGACUGGUAUGAAUGGCUAAACGAGAAAUCAGCUUUUUUUAUUAUAUAAAUUUAAUUUAUUUUUUUAGUGAAAAAACUAAAAUUUUUCAAAAAGACGAGAAGACCCUAUAGAGUUUUAUGUGGUAAUAAAUUAAAUUAUACUAGAUUUCUACUAAUAGAAUUUUGAUUCACAAUUUGUUGGGGCGACAUUAAGAAAUGACAAACUCUUUUUUUUAAAUACUUUUAUAAAAGUAAUAUUUGAUCCUUUAAAAAAGAUCAUAAGAAAAAAUUACCUUAGGGAUAACAGCGUAAUCUUUUUUGAGAGUUCUAAUCGACAAAAAGGUUUGCGACCUCGAUGUUGGACUAAAAUUUAGGCAUGGUGCAGUAGCUUUGCUUUAGGGUCUGUUCGACCCGUAAUAUUUUACACGAUCUGAGUUCAGACCGGCGUAAGCCAGGUUGGU
Molecule: ribosomal RNA, 470 nt
Filed under: Notochthamalus scabrosus
Lineage: Eukaryota; Metazoa; Arthropoda; Thecostraca; Balanomorpha; Chthamalidae
Description: partial 16S ribosomal RNA
Rfam family: Bacterial large subunit ribosomal RNA
Source: RNAcentral